CAGGCACUGUUGCUGUUAGCCCCAAUCCUCCUCCAAAUGUUGCUUCAACUUGCAGCUUUCCCUCAAGUAGCACAGGGGCAAACACAGGCACCACACCAACCGGGACAACCAACACCGGGUCAACCACC
Long non-coding RNA from Hibiscus syriacus, 128 nucleotides. RefSeq lists it as uncharacterized. The transcript has 3 exons. NCBI's taxonomy places the organism in Eukaryota, Viridiplantae, Streptophyta, Magnoliopsida, Malvales, Malvaceae. The record is from RefSeq and is a predicted model, not a curated record.